AUGGUGUUUGAGACCAGAAAUCCGUGCCUGGUAAGAUUUUCGUCUCGAAAAGCUACCCUAAGAAUUCAGAGAGCUUGCUCUGAAGAACAGGUGCAUAAAGUUCAAAUUUAAGGGACAGUCCUUUAAACCCACAAACAAGAUUGAGCUCAUGUUGCGAGAGAUUUCUUAAUGGGCAGCGGUUAACCAGGUACCCAUGCUUGACCCUUCUUCACACCAGACUUCCUCAUAUAGAAAGAAAAAAACCCUUUAAAAAAAAAAAAAAGAAAAAAAGAAAAAAAAAACCUCAUGUGGUUGUUUAGUUUCAUGCACAGUUGCAAUAUUUUUCUUCAAACAAACUCUGUACAAACUUUGGGCCCGAUUCAUAAAAGCUCCUUUGCUAUUAACACGGGAGGCUGGUGGGCUUUUCUCGUCCAAAUUGAGGAUGGCUUUCUUCCCCAGCGCACGCUUUGGCGAGCCCCGCUUUCCUCGGCACGCGCGCCCGCUGGCUUUCCUCUGCCUCCCCUUCCCCUCUCCGCCUCCCCUAACCCCACCGGAGAAGAGGAAUCGAUGGGAAGGGGCCGCGGAGGAGGCGAGGCAGCGCAGGACCAUGCUCCGACACCCCAGAGGCGCAGGCUGGCGGGGGAAAAGGGGGAGACAGGGGAGAGGACGACUCCGUGCCGCGCUCUGGCCGAUGCCGGGGGUCUGUAACGCGGUGGUACGAGGCUGCUCGGUUACAAACGAGAUCUUGUCCGUACCGGGGGGGAAAAAAUGACGCUAAGAUCGCUACCUCUCAGCUCUAGCGAAAAACCUUCGUCAAGGCAAAUGCUUGUACACAGUCUGAACUUUUGUACUUUGUACGCUUUUUUUUUUUUAGGGAAGACUAUUUUCCACUUAGUUAAUCUUCUAUGCUCGAGCAUGAACAAAAACAAUUGUGUUGGGUGAAAUUCCCCCCCCUUUUUUAUCUGCAUCCACAAAUUAAUAUGGGGGGGGGGGGGGGGAAGAAGAUGAGUUUCUAGACGGAGCAUGGUAGGAAGAGAGUGCCCGGCUUGGCAUCUGCCGCCGCCGCCGCUUGUUCUUGCUGCCGGCGCCCUGCGCCUGCUGCCUUGGGGAAAGGUCUGCAAAAUUCUUUGCUUUGGAAAUACAAUCAAGGAGAAAUCUCCAUUUUGGCAGGCUGUGCGGUUUCUCCGCACGGCUGAACUGGCCCAGCCAAGUCCCUCAGCGUCAAUUUGAAAUUCGGGGCGCUAAAAUUUCCACCGGCCGUGUGAAAGAUCUGCUGCAAAUUCACUUGACACCCGUGUUAAUACCAUGUCGUGUUCAUUUUUUUUAUGAGUCAGGCCCCUCGUGCCUCUAGUAUACUUGUAUUGACUCUCAUAGUUACCAUUUUAGUUUUACUGUGUUCUGUGAAAAAAAUUGUAAUUGGUUGAGAAUCACUGUGGGCAUCCAUUCUUAUUCAACUAAGUCUCCGCAGGUUUUUUGAGCUGGUGUGGAUUAGUUUAACUCUUGUAUUCAACCAUUAGUGCUACCACCUUCUCACAUUACAAUACAAUUACUGGAAGCAAGUACUGCAUUUCCUAUGCAACAAAAAAGGAAAAUAAAAAAUUGCUAAUGCU
This is a long non-coding RNA of Haliaeetus leucocephalus (bald eagle), 1589 nucleotides long. RefSeq lists it as uncharacterized. Lineage: Eukaryota; Metazoa; Chordata; Aves; Accipitriformes; Accipitridae. The record is from RefSeq and is a predicted model, not a curated record. The transcript has 2 exons.